Molecule: ribosomal RNA, 566 nt
Filed under: Buergeria japonica (Japanese Buerger's frog)
Lineage: Eukaryota; Metazoa; Chordata; Amphibia; Anura; Rhacophoridae
Description: partial 12S ribosomal RNA
Rfam family: Bacterial small subunit ribosomal RNA (bases 1-502)
Source: RNAcentral
GCCAACCGUNNAAUUUACUCUCUCCUACCUACGCCUGGGUAUUACGUGCUUUAGCUUNAAACCCAAAGGACUUGACGGUAUCCCACCCACCUAGAGGAGCCUGUUCUAUAAUCGAUGAUCCACGCUAUACCAAACCAUUUCUUGCCUACUUUCAGCCUGUAUACCUCCGUCGUAAACUUACCGUUUGAAUGUUUAAUAGUAGGUUCUAAUGGCCACCCGUCAAUACGUCAGGUCAAGGUGCAGCUUAUGAAAUGGAAAGCAAUGGGCUACAAUUUCUAACUUAGAACACACGAAAUACUGCAUGAAAUACAGCCAUGAAGGCGGAUUUAGUAGUAAAAGGGAAAUAGAGAGUCCCUUUAAACUUGGCCCUGGGAUGUGUACAAACCGCCCGUCACCCUCUUCAAUAGCCCUAAAUUUGUUUCAUAACCAGAUUCUGCACUUUAGAAGAGGCAAGUCGUAACAUGGUAAGUGUACUGGAAAGUGCACUUGGAAUAACAAAAUGUAGCUUAAUUUAAAGCCUCUCGCUUACACCGAGCAAAUGUCUUGUUAACCUCAGACCAUNGGGG